RNAcentral lists this unclassified non-coding RNA (472 nucleotides) under Banksia spinulosa var. collina. RNAcentral describes it as "partial miscellaneous RNA". Lineage: Eukaryota; Viridiplantae; Streptophyta; Magnoliopsida; Proteales; Proteaceae. The record is from RNAcentral.
ACGUUAUGCAUGAACGUAAUGCUCACAACUUCCCUCUAGACCUAGCUGCUGUUGAAGCUCCAUCCAUAAAUGGAUAAGACUUAGAUCUUAGUGUAUACGAGUUGUUGAAGGAGCAAUACCGCAUUUCUUGUUUUAGCAAGAGUGUUGGUAUUGCUCCUUCAUUUAGUUUUUAGCUUAGUAAUGUUUUACUAUCAUAAGAUAAGUGUUUUUGCCAUUUUAUUUUUUGACUUAAGCUUAAGUCAAAAAAUAACUAUAGGGUUGGUUCAUUGAGUAUAUUAUUUUAUUUUCGUUCUAUAAUUAAAAAUUAAAAUCAAAUAUGUCUAAGAUUUUUUUAUUUAAAAUGAAGGUAAGAAAAACUAAAUUAAAUAAUGAUGAGUGCUAAAAAUAGAAUCUAUUGAAUCUUUUAGAAAGAGUAGGGGCGGAUGUAGCCAAGUGGAUUAAGGCAGUGGAUUGUGAAUCCACCAUGCGCGCC